This 460-nucleotide ribosomal RNA is filed under the name uncultured bacterium. RNAcentral describes it as "partial 16S ribosomal RNA". It matches the Rfam family "Bacterial small subunit ribosomal RNA", at positions 338 to 795 of the family's 1533-position model. The record is from RNAcentral.
CCUACGGGUGGCAGCAGUGAGGAAUAUUGGUCAAUGGCCGUAAGGCUGAACCAGCCAAGUCGCGUGAAGGAAGAAGGAUCUAUGGUUUGUAAACUUCUUUUAUAGGGGACUAAAGGUAUCCACGUGUGGAUAUUUGCAUGUACCCUAUGAAUAAGCAUCGGCUAACUCCGUGCCAGCAGCCGCGGUAAUACGGAGGAUGCGUGCGUUAUCCGGAUUUAUUGGGUUUAAGGGGUGCGUAGGUUGUUUUUUAAGUCAGCGGGGAAAGUUUGUGGCUCAAGCAUAAAAUUGCCGUUGAAACUGGAAGGCUUGAGUGUGUAUGAGGUAGGCGGAAUGCGUGGUGUAGCGGUGAAAUGCAUAGAUAUCACGCAGAACUCCGAUUGCGAAGGCAGCUUACUAAGCCAUAACUGACACUGAAGCACGAAAGCGUGGGGAUCAAACAGGAUUAGAUACCCCAGUAGUC